CCCUUAGAUGUUCUGGGCCGCACGCGCGCUACACUGAUGCAUUCAACGAGUCUAAAACCUGGUCUGAUAGGGCUGGGUAAUCUUUUGAAUGUGCAUCGUGAUUGGGAUAGAUGAUUGCAAUUCUUCAUCUUCAACGAGGAAUGCCUAGUAAACGCAAGUCAUCAGCUUGCAUUGAUUACGUCCCUGCCCUUUGUACACACCGCCCGUCGCUCCUACCGAUUGAAUGUUCCGAUGAAUACCAUGGACUGAGAGUAUGAAUGGGUUCGCCUAUUUCUGCUUCUCGGGAAGUGGAGUAAAUCUUAACAUUUAGAGGAAGGAGAAGUCGUAACA
Molecule: ribosomal RNA, 330 nt
Filed under: uncultured eukaryote
Lineage: Eukaryota
Description: partial 18S ribosomal RNA
Rfam family: Eukaryotic small subunit ribosomal RNA
Source: RNAcentral